GAUCAUUACCAAUUGCGGGCGAGGCCUAGCCUCCCCGCGAACCUUCUCAUCCCUUUAUGGUGUACCUUUGUUUCCUCGGCAGGCUUGCCUGCCAGCGAGGACCCCCAACAAACCUUUUUGCAGUAAGAAGUAUACGUCUUAUCAAAAACAAAUCGUUUACAACUUUCAACAAUGGAUCUCUUGGUUCUGGCAUCGAUGAAGAACGCAGCGAAAUGCGAUAAGUAGUGUGAAUUGCAGAAUUUAGCGAAUCAUCGAAUCUUUGAACGCACAUUGCGCCUCUUGGUAUUCCAUGGGGCACGCCUGUUCGAGCGUCAUUUCAACCCUCAAGCACUGCUUGGUGUUGGGCGUCUGUCCCGCCUCUGCGCGUGGACUCGCCUCAAAGUCAUUGGCGGCUGUUCCCCUUCGGCUCGUAAGCGCAGCACAGUCAGCGCCCGGAGCUCUGGUGGAUGGCGUCCAGCAAGCUAUAUUUCUAGUCUUGACCUCGGAUCAGGUGGGGAUACCCGCUGAACUUAAGCAUAUCAAUAAGCGGAGGAAAAGAAACCAACAGGGAUUGCCUUAGUAACGGCGAGUGAAGCGGCAACAGCUCAAAUUUGAAAUCUGGCCCUUUUAGGGUCCGAGUUGUAAUUUGCAGAGGGUGCUUUGGCGUUAGUAGCGAUCUAAGUUCCUUGGAACAGGACGUCACAGAGGGUGAGAAUCCCGUACGUGGUUGCUCUACUUUCGCCGUGUAAAGCCCCUUCGACGAGUCGAGUUGUUUGGGAAUGCAGCUCUAAAUGGGAGGUAAAUUUCUUCUAAAGCUAAAUACCGGCCAGAGACCGAUAGCGCACAAGUAGAGUGAUCGAAAGAUGAAAAGCACUUUGGAAAGAGAGUCAAAAAGCACGUGAAAUUGUUGAAAGGGAAGCGCUUGCAGCCAGACGUGCCUGUAGUUGCUCAUCCGGGCUUUUGCCCGGUGCACUCUUCUGCAGGCAGGCCAGCAUCAGUUUGGGCGGCUGGAUAAAGACCUCUGUCACGUACCUCCCUCCGGGGAGGCCUUAUAGGGGAGGUGUCAUGCAGCCAGCCCGGACUGA
This 1064-nucleotide unclassified non-coding RNA is filed under the name leaf metagenome. RNAcentral's name for it is "partial contains internal transcribed spacer 1, 5.8S ribosomal RNA, internal transcribed spacer 2, and large subunit ribosomal RNA". The stretch from base 477 to 1064 matches the Rfam family "Eukaryotic large subunit ribosomal RNA", at positions 1 to 592 of the family's 3401-position model. The record is from RNAcentral.